AUGAGAUCGCUGCCCAUUGUAGUUUUAUCCCUCCUGAUUCUUGUCCUUGCUGCCCAUGUAUCCCAAGCCGAUGACAAGGGCUCUCCAGGCGGAAAUGGGGAGGGUUCCCAUGAAGGUGACGGUGAUGAUCAUAAAUCAAAUGGCGUAGGGCCGGUGAAAAAGCCAAAAUGCCAUAAGCCCGGACGUGGUCCGAAAAACCAUGACAAUGAUGGUCGAGGACCACCGGAAAAGGAUUGCGAUGAUGAAGAGACGACACCGUCAUCACCGGGGCCUUCCCCAAACCAAGGUAAUGGUUCACCAUCACCACCGCCAUCCCCUUCUUAUUCUCCACCCACGAAUACCCAGUCACCUCCACCUCCAUCAGAAACUAGUCCUACUACACCUCCACCCUACCAACCCAGCAAUCAAUCCCCUCCGCCACCAUCAUCAUCAAGCCCACCACCAACACCUCCAUCUAGCCCCCCUGUUAAACCUCCAACCUACGAACCUAAUGAUCAAUCGCCACCGCCUCUAAUGAAUCCUCCACCCAUUACCCAACCACCUCCAUCUAGUCCACCUGCGGCACCUCCAAUGAGCCCGACUAAUCAGCCUCCUCCACCUCCCCCUGGUACACCUCCAACCUAUGAACCUAAUGAUCAAUUGCCACCGCCUCCAUUAAAUCCUCCGUCCAUUCCCCCACAACCAUCUAGCCCACCUGCCUCACCUCCAAUGAACCCCACUAAUGAUCAACCUCCUCCACCAUCUCCGUCAUCUAGCCCCCCACCAGUAGCUCCAGCCACCCCACCAACACCUCUAUCUAGUCCCCCUGUUACGCCUCCAUCCUACGAACCUAACGAUCAAUCACCACCGCCUCCAUUGAAUCCUCCACCCAUUCCCUCACCAGUUCCAUCAAGCCCACCCGUGGCACCUCCUAUGAACCCGACUAAUGAUCAGUCUCCACCAUCGUCAUCAUCUAGCCCCCCACAAAUAGCUCCAAUGACUCCACCACCUCCCACUCGCCCACCUGCCACGCCUCCAACAGACUCAACUAAUGAGCAAAGUCCUCCACCAACACCAUCAUCUAGUCCACCAGGAGCUCUAUCAAGUCCUCCACCACCGUCAUCUAGUCCAGCAAUGGCUCCAUCCAUUGCCACGCCACCUUUGUCUAGUCCCCCUGCUACACCUCCAACAUACCAAGCUAAUGACCAGCCCCCUCCACCACCACCAUCAUAUAGUACACCGCCGACAACUUUAGCUAGUCCUCCACCACCACCAUUGAGUCCACCAGCAAUAUCUCCAACCACUAGCCCACCUCCUACAUCUACUUCCCCAUCGCCUAUGUCUAGUCCACCAGCAACACCGCCGACCAACCAAGGUAACCACCCACCGUCACCAUUAAGUCCGCCUACCACACCUCCGAUGUACCAAGUUAACCAACCACCGCCGCCACCACAAUUAAGUGCCCCUGCCACACCUCCGACCUAUCAAGGUAAUGCCCAACCACCACCAUCGCCACUUGGUGCCCCUACUGGCAAUGGAUGGGUGCAAGUUCAGAACUUUCAUGACGCCAUGUACUGGCAAAUCGGGCGCUUUGCGGUGUACAAGUUGGUAAACAAGAAGAACAAUUCCCUUGUUGAUGUGCUCUAUGUGAGCAUGCAACCUGCAGGAAAUGGCAACAACUACUUUCUUGUGAUAAAAGUAGCAGAUGAAUAUAAGAAGGUCGGCAAGUAUCAUGUGCUUCUAUGGGGUGUGCCCGGGUCAGCAGAUCAAGCAUGGAAACCAUAUUGGCUCAAAUUUGUAGGAAACUAA
Molecule: ribosomal RNA, 1788 nt
Filed under: Triticum aestivum (bread wheat)
Lineage: Eukaryota; Viridiplantae; Streptophyta; Magnoliopsida; Poales; Poaceae
Description: partial small subunit ribosomal RNA
Source: RNAcentral